This 244-nucleotide ribosomal RNA is filed under the name uncultured bacterium. RNAcentral describes it as "partial 16S ribosomal RNA". It matches the Rfam family "Bacterial small subunit ribosomal RNA", at positions 1257 to 1500 of the family's 1533-position model. The record is from RNAcentral.
GCGAAGGCAAGCGGAUCUCUUAAAGCUGUUCUCAGUUCGGACUGCAGUCUGCAACUCGACUGCACGAAGCUGGAAUCGCUAGUAAUCGCAGAUCAGAAUGCUGCGGUGAAUACGUUCCCGGGUCUUGUACACACCGCCCGUCACACCAUGGGAGUUGGAAAUGCCCGAAGCCAGUGACCCAACCGUAAGGAGGGAGCUGUCGAAAGUGGAGCCGAUGACUGGGGUGAAGUCGUAACAAGGUACC